GCCCAGGUAGCUCAGUUGGUUAGAGCACACGCAUGGUAAGCGUGAGGUCGGCGGUUCAAUUCCGCCCCUGGGCU
Molecule: transfer RNA, 74 nt
Filed under: Patescibacteria group bacterium
Lineage: Bacteria
Description: tRNA-Thr
Rfam family: tRNA
About the family: Transfer RNA (tRNA) molecules are approximately 80 nucleotides in length. Their secondary structure includes four short double-helical elements and three loops (D, anti-codon, and T loops).
Source: RNAcentral